This 253-nucleotide ribosomal RNA is filed under the name uncultured bacterium. RNAcentral describes it as "partial 16S ribosomal RNA". It matches the Rfam family "Bacterial small subunit ribosomal RNA", at positions 524 to 776 of the family's 1533-position model. The record is from RNAcentral.
UACGUAGGGUGCAAGCGUUGUCCGGAAUUAUUGGGCGUAAAGAGCUCGUAGGCGGCCUGUCGCGUCGGCUGUGAAAACCCGGGGCUCAACCCCGGGCCUGCAGUCGAUACGGGCAGGCUAGAGUCCGGCAGGGGAGACUGGAAUUCCUGGUGUAGCAGUGAAAUGCGCAGAUAUCAGGAGGAACACCGGUGGCGAAGGCGGGUCUCUGGGCCGGAACUGACGCUGAGACGCGAAAGCGUGGGGAGCGAACAGG